UUUGAAGAGGGGAAAGCCCAAAUUUGUAAUCUGGCUCUUUUAUAAGGGUCCGAGUUGUAAUUUUGAGAACUGUUUUCCGUGCUGGACCAUGUACAAGUCUGUUGAAAAACAGCAUCAUUGAGGGUGAUAAUCCCGUACAUGAUAUGGACUACCAGGACAAUGUGAUACAGUCUCUAAGAGUCGAGUUGUUUGGGAAUGCAGCUCAAAGUGGGUGGUAAAUUCCAUCUAAGGCUAAAUAUAGGUGAGAGACCGAUAGCAAACAAGUACCGUGAGGGAAAGAUGAAAAGAACUUUGGAAAGAGAGUUAACAGUACGUGAAAUUGUUAAAAGGGAAACAUUUGAAGUUACACUUGUUAUUGUUGGUUCAGCUCUUUUUUUAAGGGUGUAUUCCAAUGGUUAACAGACCAGCAUCAAUUUUUGGGUGUUAGAUAAGGGUCUUGAGAAUGUAGCAACCUCGGUUGUGUUAUAGAUCUUGACUUGAUAUAAUGCUUAGGAUUGAGGAACGCAGUGAGCUUCUUUUUUGAAGUGGAUGUUUUUUUUAAAUGUCUCAUCACUACGGUGGUUUGGUGUAAA
This 572-nucleotide ribosomal RNA is filed under the name Chrysomyxa yunnanensis. RNAcentral describes it as "Chrysomyxa sp. JC-2017a partial large subunit ribosomal RNA". It matches the Rfam family "Eukaryotic large subunit ribosomal RNA", at positions 92 to 635 of the family's 3401-position model. Lineage: Eukaryota; Fungi; Basidiomycota; Pucciniomycetes; Pucciniales; Coleosporiaceae. The record is from RNAcentral.